CCAGGGCAGGCCGCGAGGAGGCUUGCUCGCCAUCGGGGAGCUGAAAAGGAGCGGGGUAUGAUCAGGGUGGCGCACCUACCAGGCUCAGGUUCACAUGCCACUUCACCCACCAGCUGCAUGACUGUGGCUGAGCUCCUUGACCUCUCAGACCUCAGUUUUCUCCUCUGUAUCUCGUACCCGCCUCAAAGGGCUUCAUUCUACAUUCUGUCCGGUUUACAUACUUUUAUUCUACUGAGGUCACGUUUAUUCGGUGCUUUACACAGAUUUGCUCCCAUUACUCAUGGGAAGCCUAGAUAGCUGGUACUAUAUAAUUUUUUAAACUUUUCUUUAAUGUUUAUUUAUCUUAGAGAGACAGGGGGACAGAGGAUCCAAAGCAGGCUCCGUGCCUUCUUUGCAGAGCCUUACAUGGGGCUCCAUCCCAUGAGCCGUGAGAUCAUGACCUAAGCUGAAGUCUGACACUGAACCAACUGAGCCACCAGGGUCCAGCCUACAAAAGCAGAGAGUGUGAGGACAUGAGCCUGUACACACCCACGGCUCAGGAUUACCAACUCGUGGCCACUCAUGCUUCACCUGCACCCAGCCCGCCCUCUCUCCACGGGGAUGAUUUUGAAGCAAAUUCCAAGGCCCAGGUCAUGUCCCUAAAUAUCUCAGUAUGCUUCUCCAUUGCUUCUAGGAUGUGCUAUAAUGCUACAGUGUGCUUCUAAAAAUAAAACCACGGUGUCAUUGUCAGCCUUUGAAACGAGUGAUGAUAAUCCCUUAAUAGCACAAAAUAGCCAGUCACUGGCCAAAUUCCCUUGAUAAUCUCAUGAAUGUUUUCCUACAGUUGGCUUGUUCACAUUUCGGCUUCCUAAAAAGUUAAACAAACAAACAAAAAACCCAUAAAGGUGUUUUUUGUUUUAAAUGACUCAUUGCAGGAAAGAAACAACGUUGACUUUUCCACUGUUGUCCAUGUAUUUAAGGGAUGCAUGGCCUCUUCCAGCGGAACCAGGUCUGGGUCUCUGACCCUGAGCUGGGAGGCAGGCGCCCAGGGGCACCUUCUCCUGGGACAGUAAAGAGCGCAGGUCCAGCGUUUGUCUUUGCAAAGGGUACGUGAAGCCAGAUAUGGGAGGUGACAGGAGAGAGCACCCUUGCCCCACAGCUCCCCGGCAGUCACCAGUGAGAAGUGAGCGGGAAGGUAACCCGCUGUGUGAAGAAAGGUGCAGCAGGGCUCGGGCUAGAUGCAGGGGAAGGUCUGGGGCAAUGUCGACUCUGUCUCCCUGACUCAGGCCUUCUCCCUCACCCUCCUUCCUGGGUCUGCCUAGCCGAGGCCACAGCUACGGGUUCUGACAUCAACAGCCUUCAGGUUGCAAGCCCUCAGGCAGUGUUUCUGGAAGAUACCAUCACUCCCUAUCAAUCAUAACACCACUGAAGACCUGCUUUGUAUCAGGCUGAGCACGUGUCUUGUGACCUCAUUCAGUCCUUGAAAUGAGCCAAGAGGCUGGAUGGAUCAAUCCUCCCGUUUCAUAGGGGAGGAAGCCAAGUCGCAGGUUGAGCAACUUGCCCAAAGUUGCACAAUUGCUGGUGCGGCUGUGAAAGCCCCAGGACCUGGCUGGCUCCAGAGUCCACGUUCUGAGGCCUCUGCUAGGAAGACCAAGCCCCAGACUCAAGGCCAGACGUCCAGUGCAGGCAUCAGUGGAGCUCCUGCAGAGUCGGCCUUCAUAGGCAGCCCAAACCCAGCUCUCUGGAGCAUGGGGGUCAAGGUGGAGCUGACCGUGGGGUCAGCGUGGGCCCGGCCAUGAGGGCCAUAAGUGUUACCAGUGAGGAGUUGGGAUCUUGUCUUGAGGGCACUGACUCUCCACACUCAAAGUGUGCUCAAAAGUUGCCUAAGUGACUGGUUAAAAUGCAGAUUCUGGCCUCAGCCAGAAGCUAAUUCACUAUAUCAGUGGUGGGACCAAGAGUUUAUGAAUUCAGAUUCCCCAUUCUGUAGACUCCGUGUCUGUAUUCUAAACAAGAUUUACACAGUGAUCGGCCUUGUGUGUUAAAAAUGGCAGCAUUCUUAGCCCACACUAUCCAGUAUGAUAGCCACUGGCCCCAUCAAUUAAAUUAAAAUUAAUUAAAAUUACCAUUAAAGAAUUCAGUUCCUUAGUCACACUAGCCACAUUUCAAGUGCUCAGGAGCUAAAUGGGGCCGGUGGCUGUCAUACCGGAUGGCACUGACACAGAACAUUGCCAGCACUGUGAGAAGUUCUAUUGGACAGCCUGUUCCGAACCCUGGCAACAUCGAUGUGGGUGGAAGAUGAACAGAAAAGGGGCAAGUGGGGAGUCAGAGAGAGUAGUCCAAACCAGAAUAAUGUGCCAUAUAUAGAACUCAAUAAAAAUGAAAUGAUGUUACUAAAUUUUAGCUGAAUACUGUUUCAAAAAGCUCUGAGUUUGAGAUCUGCUGUUUUUCUGCCAGAGAAUUAACCCAGUAUUAAAAGGGUGUUAAAGACACACAAGUACCAAACGGAGAUUUGCUCCCAGAAGGGUUGGAAGAGAAUGGAGGAGUGACUUCUCACCCUGCCACUCCGUGUUCUUUACUGUCUUUCUACUGCCCUGUCCACCAUCUUGUGCCCUGCCCCUUAAAUUUUGAAAUGGGUCUGGUUUGACUUUGCACCCCCCAGCACUUCACAGAAAGGAAACUGAGGCGUGGAGAAUUGAAGUAACCUGCCCCACAUCCCACAGCCCGUUAAUCGCAGAGCCAAUACCCAGAGUUGUCAGGGUGGCCAAUGCUCCCCUUAACACAUAGG
Molecule: long non-coding RNA, 2764 nt
Organism: Neofelis nebulosa (Clouded leopard)
Lineage: Eukaryota; Metazoa; Chordata; Mammalia; Carnivora; Felidae
Exons: 2
Source: RefSeq, a predicted model, not a curated record